CUCCCUCAAAGCGGAGGUGAGGCCGGACUGAGGCUCUUACAGUGGUCCCUGCUGGCCCUUGGUGACGGGUCGCGUCAGUUCCGACCCGGACCCGUACGCUGCUGCGCUGACGUGGCUCCUGGAAGCAGGGCUGGCGUAGGGCCGCCAUGUUGCAGCAGGAUAGUAAUGAUGACACUGAAGAUGUUUCACUGUUUGAUGCGGAAGAGGAGACGACUAAUAGACCAAGAAAAGCCAAAAUCAGACAUCCAGUAGCAUCGUUUUUCCACUUAUUCUUUCGAGUCAGUGCAAUCAUCGUCUGUCUUCUCUGUGAGUUGCUCAGCAGCAGCUUUAUUACCUGUAUGGUUACAAUUAUCUUGUUGUUGUCGUGUGACUUUUGGGCAGUGAAGAAUGUCACAGGUAGACUAAUGGUUGGCCUACGUUGGUGGAAUCACAUUGAUGAAGAUGGAAAGAGCCAUUGGGUGUUUGAAUCUAGAAAGGAGUCCUCUCAAGAGAAUAAAACUGUGUCAGAGGCUGAAUCAAGAAUCUUUUGGUUGGGACUUAUUGCCUGUUCAGUACUGUGGGUGAUAUUUGCCUUUAGUGCACUCUUCUCCUUCACAGUAAAGUGGCUGGUGAGUAUCAGUGUAGAACUUUCAAAUAAUCCAUUAAGAUGUCUGAUGGUAAUCAUAGGAAGCAACAACUGCAACUGAGUCCUUAUCAUUAGGGACCUAUCUUGAAUAGGCAGCUUCAUCAUGUAAUUCCCAAGUUUUGCUUCCCAACUUUACCUUUCUCUAUAAUACUGGAGAAGAGAUCCUAAAAAACCCCUUCCCACCAGUUUUCUAGGAUAUUAGUGGUCUUUUCUGGAAAUAAUGGUUGGUAAUCUGUUUUGGUUACCUAUUGCUGCCUAACAAAUCACCCCAAAACAUAGUGGCUUAGAGCAACAACAGCCAUUAUCUCACAGUUUCUAUGGGUCAGGAUCUUGGGAAGGGCUCUGCUGGGAGAUUCUGGCUUGGGGUCUUGAGUAGUUGUAGUCAGACAGUAGUUGGAAUGAUGGGGGUUGUGAGCCAUCUCCUCUUCAUGAGGUCCCAUGGCCUCUCCACAUGUUUUUCCAUGUGCCUUGGUUUGGGCUUCCUCAUGGCAUGGUGGCCUCAUGGUGGUGGGACUGCUUACGUGGCAGCCCAGUACUUCACUUGUGGGGUGUUCUAGCUCACAAGCUUUUACAAUCUAGCCUAAGAUGUCAUAGCAUUGCUUCUGCUGCCCACUCACAUUCAAGGAAAUGGGAAUUAGGCUCUACUCUUGAUAAGGAAUAAGAAGGUGCUAGAAGACUUUGUGGAAGAGGAGAUAUUGUUGCUGCUGUCUUUGG
Molecule: long non-coding RNA, 1339 nt
Filed under: Homo sapiens (human)
Lineage: Eukaryota; Metazoa; Chordata; Mammalia; Primates; Hominidae
Description: long non-coding RNA NONHSAT175977.1
Source: RNAcentral